Molecule: ribosomal RNA, 387 nt
Filed under: uncultured bacterium
Lineage: Bacteria
Description: bacterial SSU rRNA
Rfam family: Bacterial small subunit ribosomal RNA
Source: RNAcentral
GACGAACGCUGGCGGCGUGCUUAACACAUGCAAGUCGAGCGGUAAGGCCCUUUCGGGGGUACACGAGCGGCGAACGGGUGAGUAACACGUGGGUGACCUGCCCUCAGCUCUGGGAUAAGCCUGGGAAACCGGGUCUAAUACUGGAUAUGACUCCAUGACGCAUGUUGUGGGGUGGAAAGCCUUGUGCGGCUGAGGAUGGGCCCGCGGCCUAUCAGCUUGUUGGUGGGGNGAUGGCCUACCAAGGCGACGACGGGUAGCCGGCCUGAGAGGGCGACCGGCCACACUGGGACUGAGACACGGCCCAGACUCCUACGGGAGGCAGCAGUGGGGAAUCUUGCGCAAUGGGCGAAAGCCUGACGCAGCGACGCCGCGUGGGGAUGACGGCCU